Molecule: ribosomal RNA, 520 nt
Filed under: uncultured Diversispora
Lineage: Eukaryota; Fungi; Glomeromycota; Glomeromycetes; Diversisporales; Diversisporaceae
Description: SSU rRNA
Rfam family: Eukaryotic small subunit ribosomal RNA
Source: RNAcentral
AGCAGCCGCGGCAAUUCCAGCUCCAAUAGCGUAUAUUAAAGCUGUUGCAGUUAAAAAGCUCGUAGUUGAACUUCGGGGUUUACCCAUUGGUCAGGCUUAAUUGUCUGUACUGGUGAGAUGAAUCUCUACCUUCUGAGGAACUUUCAUGCCAUUUAUUUGGUGUGGUGGGAAAUCAGGACUGUUACUUUGAAAAAAUUAGAGUGUUUAAAGCAGGCUAACGUCUGAAUACAUUAGCAUGGAAUAAUGAAAUAGGACGGAUUGAUUCUAUUUCGUUGGUUUCUAGGAUCACCGUAAUGAUUAAUAGGGAUAGUUGGGGGCAUUAGUAUUCAAUUGUCAGAGGUGAAAUUCUUGGAUUUAUUGAAGACUAACUACUGCGAAAGCAUUUUGCCAAGGAUGUUUUUCAUUAAUCAAGAACGAAAGUUAGGGGAUCGAAGACGAUCAGAUACCGUCGUAGUCUUAACCAUAAACUAUGCCGACUAGGGAUCGGACGAGUUAAUUUUAUAAUGACGCGUUCGGCACC